GAGAAGCAUGGGGGCCUUGGGAUAGUUCCAGAAUGAGGAUGUGCGUUUCUAGCUGCUUUGCGCCCUCCUCCCCCAAAAAUCUGCUACCACAAUUCCAACCCGGCGGCACGCCCCCAAGACUCCUUUGUCGCCCCAGGGGCGGGACCUGAGCUGUCGAUUUCAGGAGCCCUUCGUGACUUCAAAAGUCCUGGGCACUGUUGCUCAUGAGUGCUGCACAACUGUCGCCCUCUAAAGCCACCUCCAUCCCUCACUGGGCUGGCCUCCUGAGCCUUCGAAGGAAGCCCGGUGCCAGCCAGCCUUCCUGAAAGACCAAGCCCGCGCCAUCCGGCUUCCUCCAGUGGACGCCUGCAGGACCCAGGUGAGACACGGAACCGGUUGGGGACGCGAGCCAGGGAUCCUGACCGGUUGGGGGCGGCGAGCAAGGGAUCCUGACUUGGGGGCGUUGCCUCCCGGAAUCCAAGCGGCCUUUUGCCCGGGUCUCCCGAGAUGCAUCGAAAUUGAGCUCGUCCACACAGCCCCCUGACUGCGUGAUGCCCUUUUCUGACUUAAAACAUUCCUUGUACCUUUAUUUACACGAUCCAAGUUGCAGUGUGCCUAGAUUUUCCUCCAAGGACAAAAAUGUGAAUAAAGCAAUAUUUUAGCCAAA
RNAcentral lists this long non-coding RNA (646 nucleotides) under Homo sapiens (human). RNAcentral describes it as "non-protein coding MIR503HG:9". The record is from RNAcentral. Lineage: Eukaryota; Metazoa; Chordata; Mammalia; Primates; Hominidae.